RNAcentral lists this ribosomal RNA (256 nucleotides) under uncultured bacterium. RNAcentral describes it as "partial 16S ribosomal RNA". It matches the Rfam family "Bacterial small subunit ribosomal RNA", at positions 793 to 1055 of the family's 1533-position model. The record is from RNAcentral.
GUCCACGCCGUAAACGAUGGAUACUAGCUGUUGGGAGCGAUCUCAGUGGCUAAGCGAAAGUGAUAAGUAUCCCACCUGGGGAGUACGUUCGCAAGAAUGAAACUCAAAGGAAUUGACGGGGGCCCCGCACAAGCGGUGGAGCAUGUGGUUUAAUUCGAUGAUACGCGAGGAACCUUACCAAGGCUUAAAUGUAGAUUGACCGGUUUGGAAACAGAUCUUUCGCAAGACAAUUUACAAGGUGCUGCAUGGUUGUCGU